RNAcentral lists this ribosomal RNA (252 nucleotides) under uncultured Bacteroidales bacterium. Its description in RNAcentral is "partial 16S ribosomal RNA". It matches the Rfam family "Bacterial small subunit ribosomal RNA", at positions 524 to 776 of the family's 1533-position model. Lineage: Bacteria; Pseudomonadati; Bacteroidota; Bacteroidia; Bacteroidales. The record is from RNAcentral.
UACGGAGGAUGCGAGCGUUAUCCGGAUUUAUUGGGUUUAAAGGGUGCGUAGGCGGGCUGUUAAGUCAGCGGUCAAAUGUCGGGGCUCAACCCCGGCCUGCCGUUGAAACCGGCGGCCUCGAGUGGGCGAGAAGUAUGCGGAAUGCGCAGUGUAGCGGUGAAAUGCUUAGAUAUUGCGCAGAACUCCGAUUGCGAAGGCAGCAUACCGGCGGCGAUCUGACGCUGAGGCACGAAAGCGUGGGUAUCGAACAGG